GAUGAACGCUGGCGGCGUGCUUAAUACAUGCAAGUCGAGCGAACAGACGAGGAGCUUGCGCCUCUGACGUUAGCGGCAGGCGGGUGAGUAACACGAGUAUAACCCACCUAUAAGACUGAGAUAAUUUCGGGAAACCGGAGAUUAUACCGGAUAAGAUAUUGAACCGCAUGGGGCAAUAGUGAAAUACGGCUUUGCUGGCACGUAUCGAUGGAUCCGGGCCGCUUUGGCUAGUUGGUAAGGUAACGGCUUAUGAAGGCAACGAUGCGUAGCCGACCUGAGAGACGGGUCGGCCACCCUGGAACUGAGCCGGCGUCCAGACUCCUACGGGAGGCAGCAGUCGGCAAUGUUCCGCAAUGGGCGGAAGUCUUGCGGAGCAAGCCCGCGUGAGUGAUGAAAGUCUUCGGAUCGUGAUACCCUGUUAUUGGGGAAAAACCGAUGUGUAAGUAACUAUAGACGUCUUGACGGUACCUAGUCAGAAAGCCCCGGCUAACUACGUG
This 497-nucleotide ribosomal RNA is filed under the name uncultured bacterium. Its description in RNAcentral is "partial 16S ribosomal RNA". It matches the Rfam family "Bacterial small subunit ribosomal RNA", at positions 28 to 507 of the family's 1533-position model. The record is from RNAcentral.